RNAcentral lists this ribosomal RNA (467 nucleotides) under uncultured bacterium. RNAcentral's name for it is "partial 16S ribosomal RNA". It matches the Rfam family "Bacterial small subunit ribosomal RNA", at positions 29 to 507 of the family's 1533-position model. The record is from RNAcentral.
ACGAACGCUGGCGGCGUGCUUAACACAUGCAAGUCGAACGGAAAGGCCCUGCUUUUGUGGGGUGCUCGAGUGGCGAACGGGUGAGUAACACGUGAGUAACCUGCCCUUGACUUUGGGAUAACAUCAGGAAACUGGGGCUAAUACCGGAUAGGAGCUCCUGCUGCAUGGUGGGGGUUGGAAUGUUUCGGCGGUUGGGGAUGGACUCGCGGCUUAUCAGCUUGUUGGUGGGGUAGUGGCUUACCAAGGCUUUGACGGGUAGCCGGCCUGAGAGGGUGACCGGCCACAUUGGGACUGAGAUACGGCCCAGACUCCUACGGGAGGCAGCAGUGGGGAAUAUUGCACAAUGGGCGGAAGCCUGAUGCAGCAACGCCGCGUGCGGGAUGACGGCCUUCGGGUUGUAAACCGCUUUCGCCUGUGACGAAGCGUGAGUGACGGUAAUGGGUAAAGAAGCACCGGCUAACUACGUG